This is an RNA transcript of Hyla sarda, 2286 nucleotides long. It is a transcript of the gene named zinc finger and BTB domain containing 8 opposite strand, with no coding region annotated. The record is from RefSeq and is a predicted model, not a curated record. The transcript is spliced from 6 exons. Lineage: Eukaryota; Metazoa; Chordata; Amphibia; Anura; Hylidae.
CUUUAAGAAUAAAUCAUUAGAUUUCUCAUACAGAUCAAUGCAGUUCUAUUGAACUCCAUUGAUCUGUGUGACCUAUGCUUAUUUGGUUGAAAUCAAAUGCAGAUCCAGAGGGCAGCCAUGGAUGAAAAGGUAAGCCCUCCAACUACCUCCCUGGGGGGGGGGGGGGGGAGAGGUGAGCCACCCCACUAGACCAGCAGCAAUAUAAAGGGUCAAUAGAUGGCCGCUGCGAUCGUCACAUGCUGGCUAUUAGCAGAGACCCCCAGCUACUGAAAUUAGCUGGGGGCCACCGGGCAUGGAAAGGAGGGGGAAGUCGAUCCAGCCCUUCUAGCCCGAAGCAGGGCUAAAUGCAUGAAAAAUUCACAGUGCCCGGUGCUGCAUGUCCCGGGCGUCGGUUGAUAGGAUUUCCACAUCCCUGCCCACUAGUCAUAAGCAGUAGCCAUCAGUAAUGUUGCAGGAGGGACCAAAAACACUAAAUACUACUAGCCACAUCAUCAAGUCAGUGCCCAGAAUAAAUAAGCUACAAGAUCUAGCACACAGGACCAAUAUGAUCACCUGUUGUGAACCCAGUGGAUCUAUGGGUGGUCACUGUGCUGUAGACCACCCAGCAAAUUCUGGAUUCUAUUUCAUAAGGAGAAAGCUCAGAAAAGCACUUCUGCCUGUCAUCAACCACUAACUGAUCAGAUUGUACCUAAGACUAUGUUCAUAUCUGCGUUGAAGGUUCGUUCGGGGAGCGUUGUCACAGGAUUUGUUUUAUGAGCAGGACCUGAGAGGACAAAAAAAAUUCUGCAAGACCUGCUAAAUAACCUCAAGACACCAGUCAAUGGGAUUCAUCGCUGUCUGUUGUGCAAAGGACCAUCUGUCUCCAUUUCUUGACUCUGAUGCAGAUGUGAACGAGGUCUUGACUUAUAAGCAGCUCAUUGUGUUUUUCUACAGGCUUCAUGCCUGGGGUGAAACAAUGGAGGAAGCAUUUGAGCAAUGUGCCAUGGCCAUGUUCGGUUACAUGACAGAUAUAGAGACCGUAGAGCCUUUAGACACAGUGGAGGUGCAAAUUGAAGGGCAUGAUAUGAUGUCCUUACUCUAUAACUUCCUAGACGCCUGGCUCUAUAAGUUCAGCGCUGAUCAGUACUUCAUACCCCGGGAGGUGAAGGUGCUACAUAUAGACAGAAUAAACUUCAAGAUACGUUCUAUUGGGUGGGGAGAAGAAUUUAGCUUAUCCAAGCACCCCCAGGGCACAGAAGUGAAAGCUAUUACAUAUUCAGCCAUGCAGAUAUGUGAAGAAGAGAAGCCUGAGGUGUUUGUCAUUAUUGAUAUCUGAAGCUUAGUAGAGUCAUCUUGAAAAGAUGUCUGAAAUAGAGGGAAGACAGAAGACUACUACAUAAAUAUUGAGAUACCAUAUCUUCUGCACUUUUUAACAUGAUUGAGAGAAUGGAGAGUUUACAGUACAAAGCAGUUUCUUACCCUAUGCAAAAAUGGACUAUACUCAAUCAUGUAGCAGAAUCGUCCUUGAAGUUCCAACUCUGCUCCCGCUCGUUUUCAGGUGGCAGUACUAGGGGCUGGUCAUCCCCAAAAUCAAAGUUGACAUUAUCCAAACCUGCUUCUGAAAGACAAGGAUGACACAGGCGAUAUCUUCUUGUCCCAUCUUGAAUCACUCGACCUGUGACCUCUGUAACCGGUAAUUUGCAUCGUCUACAGAUGAGCUUGCCAGCUUCAUGGAUCUAGAUAGAGGAUAUUGAAAAAUGGUAAACUAUUGAAUGCUGCAUACCCAUAAUUCAUACAUAUCAUUAAAUGGGGUAUAGCUAAUUCGGCUGCAGGCUUCAUUCACACUUCUUUAACUGGAACUAGUGGGAUUGCCUUAUAGCCUUUUGAGAACGCUGUUGUAACACCGAAACAUGUUGGGGAGGGCGUGAUCUUAUAUAUUAAAACAUACUGGGAGUCAUUUACUAAUGUGAUCCCGACUUUUUUUCUCUUAUGAUCAAAAAAAAUCCAACCAACUCUCAGUUUUUACCCACAUGCCCACCCCCAAGAGGCGUGGCCUCUGGGGGGUGUUUAUAAAAGGAAAAUACCAACAAAUGUACUUAUUUUACCCAUAUAAAAAUGUGGUGGAUUUAAGCUCUGUAAAAUUGGACCAGCUCAAUCUGAAUGAGACCAAUAUAUUGAGGGAAUUUGUAUCAAUAUAUACUCGUAGAUCACCCACAAGGGGGAUCCACUGAAACCCUUAAUUUAUUACCCAUGAAUCCCUAAAUAAACUUUACCACAAACUCAAAAGGGUUAAAAAUUAAGUGCUCA